GACGAACGCUGGCGGCGUGCUUAACACAUGCAAGUCGAACGGUAAGGCCCUUCGGGGUACACGAGUGGCGAACGGGUGAGUAACACGUGGGUGAUCUGCCCUGCACUUCGGGAUAAGCCUGGGAAACUGGGUCUAAUACCGGAUAGGGCUCCUGCCUGCAUGGGUGGGGGUGGAAAGCUUUUGCGGUGUGGGAUGGGCCCGCGGCCUAUUAGCGUGUUGGUGGGGUGAUGGCCUACCAAGGCGACGAAGGGUAGCCGGCCUGGGAGGGUGACCGGCCACACGGGGACUGGGGUACGGCCCAGACUCCGACGGGAGGCAGCAGUUUGGAAUUUUGGACAAUGGGCGAAAGCCUGAUCCAGCGACGCCGCGUGGACGAUGAAGGUCUUCGGAUUGUAAAGUCCUUUUGCUCGGGAACAAUAUUUUGAGCGUACCGAGAGAAUAAGAGGUUGCUAACUCUGUGCCAGCCGCCGCGGUAA
RNAcentral lists this ribosomal RNA (476 nucleotides) under uncultured bacterium. Its description in RNAcentral is "partial 16S ribosomal RNA". It matches the Rfam family "Bacterial small subunit ribosomal RNA", at positions 28 to 523 of the family's 1533-position model. The record is from RNAcentral.